UACGGAGGGUGCGAGCGUUGUCCGGAAUUAUUGGGCGUAAAGAGCUCGUAGGCGGUGUGUUACGUCGGCCGUGAAAACCUGCAGCUUAACUGUGGGCGUGCGGUCGAUACGGGCAUCACUGGAGUUCGGCAGGGGAGACUGGAAUUCCUGGUGUAGCGGUGAAAUGCGCAGAUAUCAGGAGGAACACCGGUGGCGAAGGCGGGUCUCUGGGCCGAUACUGACGCUGAGGAGCGAAAGCGUGGGGAGCGAACAGG
This 254-nucleotide ribosomal RNA is filed under the name uncultured bacterium. RNAcentral's name for it is "partial 16S ribosomal RNA". It matches the Rfam family "Bacterial small subunit ribosomal RNA", at positions 524 to 776 of the family's 1533-position model. The record is from RNAcentral.